This 440-nucleotide unclassified non-coding RNA is filed under the name uncultured Thelephoraceae. Its description in RNAcentral is "sequence contains ITS2". The stretch from base 1 to 155 matches the Rfam family "5.8S ribosomal RNA". The record is from RNAcentral. Lineage: Eukaryota; Fungi; Basidiomycota; Agaricomycetes; Thelephorales; Thelephoraceae.
AACUUUUGGCAACGGAUCACUUGGCUCUCCUAUCGAUGAAGAACGCAGCGAAAUGCGAUAAGUAAUUUGAAUUGCAGAAUUCAGUGAAUCAUCGAAUCUUUGAACGCACCUUGCGCCCUUUGUCUAUUCCGAAGGGCAUGCCUGUUUGAGUAUCAUGAACACCUCAACUCUCAUGGCUUGCCAUGAUGAGCUUGGACUUUGGGGGUCUUGUUGGCCUGUGAGCCAGCUCCUCUCAAACGAAUCAGCUUGCCGGUGUUUGGUGGCGUCACAGGUGUGAUAACUAUCUACGCUUGUGGUGUUUUCCACCAGGUAACCUUCAGCAAUGGAGGUUCACCGGGGCUCAUAAAAGUCUCUCCUCGGUGAGGACAGCUCUUUGAACGUUUGAUCUCAAAUCAGGUAGGACUACCCGCUGAACUUAAGCAUAUCAAUAAGCGGAGGCU